UGGGGAAUAUUGCGCAAUGGGGGAAACCCUGACGCAGCGACGCCGCGUGCGGGAUGAAGGCCUUCGGGUUGUAAACCGCUUUUGAUUGGGAGCAAGCCUUUUGGGUGAGUGUACCUUUCGAAUAAGCGCCGGCUAACUACGUGCCAGCAGCCGCGGUAAUACGUAGGGCGCAAGCGUUAUCCGGAAUUAUUGGGUUUAAAGGGAGCGUAGGCCGUUUGGUAAGCGUGUUGUGAAAUGUAGGAGCUCAACUUCUAGAUUGCAGCGCGAACUGUCAGACUUGAGUGCGCACAACGUAGGCGGAAUUCAUGGUGUAGCGGUGAAAUGCUUAGAUAUCAUGAAGAACUCCGAUUGCGAAGGCAGCUUACGGGAGCGCAACUGACGCUGAAGCUCGAAGGUGCGGGUAUCGAACAGG
This 412-nucleotide ribosomal RNA is filed under the name Verrucomicrobiota bacterium. RNAcentral's name for it is "Verrucomicrobia bacterium partial 16S ribosomal RNA". It matches the Rfam family "Bacterial small subunit ribosomal RNA", at positions 355 to 776 of the family's 1533-position model. The record is from RNAcentral. Lineage: Bacteria; Pseudomonadati; Verrucomicrobiota.